AGAAAGAACACUGGAACUGCUAAUUCCACACACCCAUGAUUAGCAUCAUGGCUUUCUU
RNAcentral lists this transfer RNA (58 nucleotides) under Trinomys paratus. RNAcentral's name for it is "tRNA-Ser". The record is from RNAcentral. Lineage: Eukaryota; Metazoa; Chordata; Mammalia; Rodentia; Echimyidae.